CAAUAGCGUAUAUUAAAGUUGUUGCAGUUAAAAAGCUCGUAGUUGGAUUUCUGGUAGGAGCGACCGGUCCGCCCUGUUAAGGGUGUGUACUAGCGUUGUCUCUGGCCAUCCUUGGGGGAACUGCGCGGGGAGACUUGCGUUAGGGAACCCAUCGUUUACUGUGAAAAAAUUAGAGUGUUUAAAGCAGGCUUAUGCCGUUGAAUACAUUAGCAUGGAAUAAUAAGAUAGGACCGCGUGGUCGUCUUGUUGGUUUGCACCGCGAGGUAAUGAUUAAUAGGGAUAGUUGGGGGUAUUCGUAUUUAACUGUCAGAGGUGAAAUUCUUGGAUUUUUUAAAGACGAACAAUUGCGAAGGCAUCUACCCAGGAUGUUUUUGUUGAUCAAGAACGAAAGUUAGGGGAUCGAAGACGAUCAGAUACCGU
RNAcentral lists this ribosomal RNA (420 nucleotides) under uncultured eukaryote. RNAcentral describes it as "bacterial SSU rRNA". It matches the Rfam family "Eukaryotic small subunit ribosomal RNA", at positions 592 to 1018 of the family's 1831-position model. The record is from RNAcentral.